GUGGGGAAUAUUGGACAAUGGGCGAAAGCCUGAUCCAGCCAUGCCGCGUGUGUGAAGAAGGUCUUCGGAUUGUAAAGCACUUUAAGUUGGGAGGAAGGGCAGUAACCUAAUACGUUAUUGUUUUGACGUUACCGACAGAAUAAGCACCGGCUAACUUCGUGCCAGCAGCCGCGGUAAUACGAAGGGUGCAAGCGUUAAUCGGAAUUACUGGGCGUAAAGCGCGCGUAGGUGGUUCAGUAAGUUGGAAGUGAAAUCCCCGGGCUCAACCUGGGAACUGCUUUCAAAACUGCUGAGCUAGAGUACGGUAGAGGGUGGUGGAAUUUCCUGUGUAGCGGUGAAAUGCGUAGAUAUAGGAAGGAACACCAGUGGCGAAGGCGACCACCUGGACUGAUACUGACACUGAGGUGCGAAAGCGUGGGGAGCAAACAGGAUUAGAUACCCCGGUAGUCC
This 450-nucleotide ribosomal RNA is filed under the name uncultured bacterium. RNAcentral's name for it is "partial 16S ribosomal RNA". It matches the Rfam family "Bacterial small subunit ribosomal RNA", at positions 354 to 796 of the family's 1533-position model. The record is from RNAcentral.